GAUGAACGCUGGCGGCGUGCCUAAUACAUGCAAGUCGAGCGAACAGACGAGGAGCUUGCUCCUCUGACGUUAGCGGCGGACGGGUGAGUAACACGUGGAUAACCUACCUAUAAGACUGGGAUAACUUCGGGAAACCGGAGCUAAUACCGGAUAACAUGUUGAGCCGCAUGGUUCAACAGUGAAAGACGGUCUUGCUGUCACUUAUAGAUGGAUCCGCGCCGCAUUAGCUAGUUGGUAAGGUAACGGCUUACCAAGGCAACGAUGCGUAGCCGACCUGAGAGGGUGAUCGGCCACACUGGAACUGAGACACGGUCCAGACUCCGAGGGGAGGCAGCAGUAGGGAAUGUUCCGCAAUGGGCGAAAGCCUGACGGAGCAACGCCGCGUGAGUGAAGAAGGUCUUCGGAUCGUAAAACUCUGUUAUUGGGGAAGAACAAAUGUGUAAGUAACUAUGCGCGUCUUGACGGUACCGAAUCAGAAAGCCACGGCUAACUACGU
Molecule: ribosomal RNA, 496 nt
Filed under: uncultured bacterium
Lineage: Bacteria
Description: partial 16S ribosomal RNA
Rfam family: Bacterial small subunit ribosomal RNA
Source: RNAcentral